UACGUAGGGGCCAAGCGUUGUCCGGAUUUAUUGGGCGUAAAGAGCUCGUAGGCGGUUCGGCAAGUCAGCUGUGAAAUCUCCACGCUCAACGUGGAGGGGUCAGCUGAUACUGCUGUGACUUGAGUCCGGUAGGGGAGUGUGGAAUUCCCGGUGUAGCGGUGAAAUGCGCAGAUAUCGGGAGGAACACCGGUAGCGAAGGCGGCACUCUGGGCCGGUACUGACGCUGAGGAGCGAAAGCGUGGGGAGCAAACAGG
This 254-nucleotide ribosomal RNA is filed under the name uncultured bacterium. RNAcentral's name for it is "partial 16S ribosomal RNA". It matches the Rfam family "Bacterial small subunit ribosomal RNA", at positions 524 to 776 of the family's 1533-position model. The record is from RNAcentral.